UCCAUACUGAAUGUCAUCUAUGAUCACAUUUCUCAUUUGUCUUCAUUUUUAGGUUUUUUUACUUCUGGGUAUUUCCAGGUUUUUUCAAAUCACAUGCUAAUUUAGAAACUCUUCAUUUUGCUAGCUUGCAUGUUAUAAAAAUUACUUUUGUGCUGCAAUCUGUGCUGAAGUUAUUUUUUCUCAUAUCAUUUAUUAGUAAUGCAUUUAUACGAAUACCGGUUCAUUUGGGCUAUUGCAGUGACUAACAGGACCUGUUAAUCAGGAUACUCCAUCUAGCUGAACAAAUAAUUUUAAUGAGCUUGAUGUGAUAUAAACCGUAUUUAUAACUGCUUCCCAAAAGCAAACAAUUGUGCAUGCCAUUGUUUCCAAAGCCUCUUGCUGCGUGUUGAGCAUUUGUAACAUGUGAAGAAAAAGAGGGAAGCAAAUGAUGAUUUUCUUACAACCUAAUUGAUUUACUCAGAUUCUUCUUUAUAUAAUACCCCUGUCCCAACCUGAGAACAUCCACUUCAGACGUGUUUCUGUCUGUACCUUUAAGCAAUUCAGGAAUACGUAUAACCAAAUUGCUGAAGCUUGUAUCUAGCCCGUGGAGUGGCUAUUCUGCUUUUUAACUUGAUCUUUUAUCCAAGUUUAACUGAAAUCACUGAGUUGUGAGUAUAAUAUCUUUUAAUGGUAGGGCAGUCAGAAAAUUAAUUUUCCCUGUACAUUGUACCCUCUGUUAAAUGAAGAAUAGUGUGUAGCCAUGUAAUAAAAGAUGCAGAAUCAUAUGUUUCCGCACUUCCAGCUUAGAUGCUGCGUUUCUGUAGCAGUUGUGUCAGGAAAUAAAUCUCAUGAGCAAAACUUUACACUACAUUAUGCUUUGUAGCUCCAAAGAUAAUGAUCAAAGGCUUUUCUCAGAUCGUGUGCUGUAUAAUGUAUGUCCCAGGAAGUUAUUAGGUACUUGUUAAAUACAAAAGUACUGUUUUUAUUUCCUUUGAUUAGAGAGUGGAAAGUUACCGUGUAAACAGGUUUCCAGGUACUUGGCUAAUGAUCA
This 1030-nucleotide long non-coding RNA is filed under the name Gallus gallus (chicken). RNAcentral describes it as "lncRNA (ENSGALG00010005589.1)". The record is from RNAcentral. Lineage: Eukaryota; Metazoa; Chordata; Aves; Galliformes; Phasianidae.